UACGUAGGUGACAAGCGUUGUCCGGAUUUACUGGGCGUAAAGAGCGCGCAGGCGGUCGUUCAAGUCGAGUGUGAAAGCCCCCGGCUCAACUGGGGAGGGUCACUCGAUACUGAUCGACUCGAAGGCAGGAGAGGGAAGUGGAAUUCCCGGUGUAGUGGUGAAAUGCGUAGAUAUCGGGAGGAACACCAGUGGCGAAGGCGACUUCCUGGCCUGUUCUUGGCGCUGAGGCGCGAAAGCUAGGGGAGCAAACGGG
RNAcentral lists this ribosomal RNA (253 nucleotides) under uncultured bacterium. RNAcentral's name for it is "partial 16S ribosomal RNA". It matches the Rfam family "Bacterial small subunit ribosomal RNA", at positions 524 to 776 of the family's 1533-position model. The record is from RNAcentral.